AGUAGUUGACUCCGUGGCUCGAGGACGACGCUGGCGGCGUGCUUAACACAUGCAAGUCGAGCGGUAAGACCCUUCGGGGUACACGAGCGGCGAACGGGUGAGUAACACGUGAGCAAUCUGCCCUCCACAUCGGGAUAACCCCGGAAACGGGAGCUAAUACCGGAUACGACCACUUCAGGCAUCUGAUGGUGGUGGAAAGUUCCGGCGGUGGAGGAUGAGCUCGCGGCCUAUCAGCUUGUUGGUGGGGUAACGGCCCACCAAGGCUUCGACGGGUAGCCGGCCUGAGAGGGUGACCGGCCACACUGGGACUGAGACACGGCCCAGACUCCUACGGGAGGCAGCAGUGGGGAAUAUUGGACAAUGGGCGAAAGUCUGAUCCAGCAACGCCGCGUGAGGGAUGACGGCCUUCGGGUUGUAAACCUCUUUCAGCGCAGACGAAGCGAAAGUGACGGUAUGCGCAGAAGAAGCACCGGCCAACUACGUG
Molecule: ribosomal RNA, 484 nt
Filed under: uncultured Marmoricola sp.
Lineage: Bacteria; Bacillati; Actinomycetota; Actinomycetes; Propionibacteriales; Nocardioidaceae
Description: bacterial SSU rRNA
Rfam family: Bacterial small subunit ribosomal RNA
Source: RNAcentral